Molecule: ribosomal RNA, 879 nt
Filed under: uncultured bacterium
Lineage: Bacteria
Description: bacterial SSU rRNA
Rfam family: Bacterial small subunit ribosomal RNA
Source: RNAcentral
AGGACGAACGCUGGCGGCGUGCCUAAUACAUGCAAGUAGAACGCUGAAGAGAGGAGCUUGCUCUUCUUGGAUGAGUUGCGAACGGGUGAGUAACGCGUAGGUAACCUGCCUUGUAGCGGGGGAUAACUAUUGGAAACGAUAGCUAAUACCGCAUAACAAUGGAUGACUCAUGUCAUUUAUUUGAAAGGGGCAAAUGCUCCACUACAAGAUGGACCUGCGUUGUAUUAGCUAGUAGGUGAGGUAACGGCUCACCUAGGCGACGAUACAUAGCCGACCUGAGAGGGUGAUCGGCCACACUGGGACUGAGACACGGCCCAGACUCCUACGGGAGGCAGCAGUAGGGAAUCUUCGGCAAUGGGGGCAACCCUGACCGAGCAACGCCGCGUGAGUGAAGAAGGUUUUCGGAUCGUAAAGCUCUGUUGUAAGUCAAGAACGAGUGUGAGAGUGGAAAGUUCACACUGUGACGGUAGCUUACCAGAAAGGGACGGCUAACUACGUGCCAGCAGCCGCGGUAAUACGUAGGUCCCGAGCGUUGUCCGGAUUUAUUGGGCGUAAAGCGAGCGCAGGCGGUUUGAUAAGUCUGAAGUUAAAGGCUGUGGCUCAACCAUAGUUCGCUUUGGAAACUGUCAAACUUGAGUGCAGAAGGGGAGAGUGGAAUUCCAUGUGUAGCGGUGAAAUGCGUAGAUAUAUGGAGGAACACCGGUGGCGAAAGCGGCUCUCUGGUCUGUAACUGACGCUGAGGCUCGAAAGCGUGGGGAGCGAACAGGAUUAGAUACCCUGGUAGUCCACGCCGUAAACGAUGAGUGCUAGGUGUUGGAUCCUUUCCGGGAUUCAGUGCCGCAGCUAACGCAUUAAGCACUCCGCCUGGGGAGUACGACC